CAUGCAGGCGGUUACAUAAGUCAGGUGUGAAAUCCCCGCGCUUAACGUGGGCAUUGCAUUUGAAACUAUGUAGCUAGAGUUCUGUAGAGGGGGGUAGAAUUCCAGGUGUAGCGGUGAAAUGCGUAGAGAUCUGGAGGAAUACCGAUGGCGAAGGCAGCCAUCUGGCCUAAUACUGACGCUGAGGUACGAAAGCAUGGGGAGCAAACAGGAUUAGAUACCCCAGUA
Molecule: ribosomal RNA, 225 nt
Filed under: uncultured Thorsellia sp.
Lineage: Bacteria; Pseudomonadati; Pseudomonadota; Gammaproteobacteria; Enterobacterales; Thorselliaceae
Description: partial 16S ribosomal RNA
Rfam family: Bacterial small subunit ribosomal RNA
Source: RNAcentral